RNAcentral lists this small RNA (123 nucleotides) under uncultured Gilliamella sp. RNAcentral's name for it is "Histidine operon leader". It matches the Rfam family "Histidine operon leader". From Rfam's summary of the family: At least 6 amino acid operons are known to be regulated by attenuation. In each a leader sequence of 150-200 bp is found upstream of the first gene in the operon. This leader sequence can assume two different secondary structures known as the terminator and the anti-terminator structure. The record is from RNAcentral. Lineage: Bacteria; Pseudomonadati; Pseudomonadota; Gammaproteobacteria; Orbales; Orbaceae.
CAUCAUCACCAUCAUUCCUGAAUAGUCUUCGGGCGAUUGGUGCUGGAAGACAGAAGGUCUUCCGGUGAUAUCGCAAAAGCAUUUAGAGAACCCUCGGAAGAUCAGUCUUCCGAGGGUUUUUUA